Megalopta genalis is the source of this 1188-nucleotide non-coding RNA. The record is from RefSeq and is a predicted model, not a curated record. NCBI's taxonomy places the organism in Eukaryota, Metazoa, Arthropoda, Insecta, Hymenoptera, Halictidae.
ACGGGUACGCACAGUUUUCCACGGGUGAUAUUCACUGAUGUAUGUACGUCUUCUGUUGAACCCAAUGUGCAACGAAGGUGUCGUAAUGUUCCAAGAAUGAUUGAAGCAGUAGUUUGAAACAAAUGCGUACAUUUUAAAAACACUGCGACAAAGAAGACUCCAACAACGAACGAUGAGAUUCUAAUGACGGAAGACGAGAUUCUAAUAACGAACGAUGAGAUUCCAAUGACGGAAGACGAGAUUCUAAUGCGGACUUCGUCGGUCCGUAGAAACGUGGAGUAACCGGCUCCAUUACCCUUGUAUCGAGCUGAGAGACGUAGAAUAUUCGUCUCGACGAUUCCUGCAGAAAGAUCUCGGGACACUCUGACCUGAACGAGCUACUGUGUAUCGCCGCGGGACAAGGAUAGCCGGGAUUCAGCGCAGGUUUUUUUCAAAGGAGAGCUUUCCUUAGGCAUUCAAGAUAUCGUGCGGAGGCCCAGGAAUCGCAAGGAAGACAAACAAUCUCGUGGAAAAGUUUCGCGAGCCGAAGAAACCGGAGAAGCUCGUUCAAGACUUUUCUAUCGUGAGCAGGAAGUUUGCUCGCCGAUAUUACGCAUUCGUGAUACGGAACCGUCGAAAGCCCGGGGAUAAUAGUAAUAGGGAUCAGAAACAAAACAGGGCGACAUCGAUGUCAUGGGUGAAGAUGCCAUGGUUAACAUCCUGGGAUGUUAAGGUGGUUCGUGUGCGCGGCCGGGAGGGCGUCGACGAGGAAUUUAUUGGACAAAAGAAGAAAACGCGCGUGGCAAGAGAGAGAGAGAGAGAGAAAGAGAGAGAGAAGAGGAACUACGAAUGUUCCAAGUUUACCGCUUGUCCUUCAAGACUUCGACGGGUCUCGCGCAGCUUUCCAUUUAUUGCCGGAGUUUAAGCGGUCGCUCUUGCCAACUUGCGCGGACAUUAUGCCGGAAAACAUGGAAGAUAAUCCGACUGGAAUUUAACUGGAUGGAUGACGAACUUGUGACGACCGUCACGAAACUUUUUGCCGUUCCUUGUGUUCACGGGGAUGCAGUUCCGUUGCCACGUUACAACGAUGAAAACGUCGACAACUAUUUAACGAGCCAGCCUACUGCACGAAGAGCGCGACUUUUCGAAUUUUCCCCAUGAAGACCGUUGCACGGAUGAACUCCAAAGACGCGGACUUAUUGAUGCACG